Molecule: non-coding RNA, 21 nt
Filed under: Arabidopsis thaliana (thale cress)
Lineage: Eukaryota; Viridiplantae; Streptophyta; Magnoliopsida; Brassicales; Brassicaceae
Source: RNAcentral
GAAGCUGCCAGCAUGAUCUAU